This is an unclassified non-coding RNA of Microcebus murinus (gray mouse lemur), 96 nucleotides long. It matches the Rfam family "Y RNA". Rfam says of the family: Y RNAs are components of the Ro ribonucleoprotein particle (Ro RNP), in association with Ro60 and La proteins. The Y RNAs and Ro60 and La proteins are well conserved, but the function of the Ro RNP is not known. In humans the RNA component can be one of four small RNAs -- hY1, hY3, hY4 and hY5. NCBI's taxonomy places the organism in Eukaryota, Metazoa, Chordata, Mammalia, Primates, Cheirogaleidae. The record is from Ensembl.
GGUUGGUCCAAUGGUAGUGGGUUAUCAGAACUUAUUAACAUUAGUGUCACUAAAGUUGGUAUUCAACUCCCCACUGCUAAAUAUGACUGGCUUUUA